AGUUUUAUUGGAGAGAGAAGCUCUUCCCUCUCUCUAGAAAUUAGGGUUUCUUGGUUCUCACUUCCUCAAUGGUUGUGAGCCGCCACUUCCUCUCUUGUAGGGAUCUCUCCUCUGCCAUCAGAGCUCAUCCUCUCCGAAAUGGAGUUUGUCCCCUCCCUUGUGGAGGUUCCUCUCCCAUGAAUGUGGGUUUUUCUUCUUUCUUCUUUAUCCCUGUUAACUCUACAUCUCCAUUGUUUCCUUUUCAUGUCCCACCACCAAUUUCCAUCGUGGUUUCUCUUCUCUCUGUCAACAAGCACGCUGUUGUGCUCUCAAAUCUGAAUCUAACUUUCCUAACCAACCAUUUUGAGCUCUAUGGCCAUGGAAG
This 364-nucleotide long non-coding RNA is filed under the name Trifolium pratense (red clover). Its description in RNAcentral is "long non-coding RNA (TPRA_LNC004359)". Lineage: Eukaryota; Viridiplantae; Streptophyta; Magnoliopsida; Fabales; Fabaceae. The record is from RNAcentral.